GAAUUUACGGAUGAACUGGAUGGAGAUGUCAUCAAAACCUUCGUCUCUGGAGGUCCCAAGAACUAUGCUUAUCAGACGGCAACUGGGAAAACCUGCUGCAAAGUAUGAAACACUUGGUCUGUAGUCUGGACGAAAAAGAAAACAUCUUUAUCCAUAACCCCUCCAAAAUCACUCGAGAAGCGAAAAGAAGAAAGGUGAUGAAUAAACCCGAGACAAAAAUGUACAGAAUUGUAUUAGAUAAACGGGUGAUUCAAAAAGACUUGAGCACAUUGCCGUAUGGUUAUUAGCAUAUUGAAGAACUUUUUAUGUUAGAACCUUAUCUGAAAAUGAAAUUUUGUAUGUGAAAAAAAUAUGUAUAUAUAUGUGUGCAGAAUCAUACAUUUGUGUCUGUAUAAAAAACUUAUUUAGAAAAAAAAUAAAUAGAAGUUUGAAUGAUAAAA
Stegodyphus dumicola is the source of this 440-nucleotide long non-coding RNA. The record is from RefSeq and is a predicted model, not a curated record. NCBI's taxonomy places the organism in Eukaryota, Metazoa, Arthropoda, Arachnida, Araneae, Eresidae.